This 541-nucleotide ribosomal RNA is filed under the name uncultured Gallionellaceae bacterium. RNAcentral's name for it is "bacterial SSU rRNA". It matches the Rfam family "Bacterial small subunit ribosomal RNA", at positions 135 to 671 of the family's 1533-position model. Lineage: Bacteria; Pseudomonadati; Pseudomonadota; Betaproteobacteria; Nitrosomonadales; Gallionellaceae. The record is from RNAcentral.
AGUGGGGGAUAACGUAGCGAAAGUUACGCUAAUACCGCAUAUGCCCUGAGGGGGAAAGGUGGGGAUCGUAAGACCUAUCGCUUUCGGAGUGGCCGAUAUCAGAUUAGCUAGUUGGUGGGGUAAAGGCCUACCAAGGCGACGAUCUGUAGCUGGUCUGAGAGGACGACCAGCCACACUGGGACUGAGACACGGCCCAGACUCCUACGGGAGGCAGCAGUGGGGAAUUUUGGACAAUGGGGGCAACCCUGAUCCAGCCAUGCCGCGUGAGUGAAGAAGGCCUUCGGGUUGUAAAGCUCUUUCGGACGGAAAGAAAUCGCCAUUUCUAAUACAAGUGGUGGAUGACGGUACCGUCAUAAGAAGCACCGGCUAACUACGUGCCAGCAGCCGCGGUAAUACGCAGGGUGCGAGCGUUAAUCGGAAUUACUGGGCGUAAAGCGUGCGCAGGCGGUUUUGUAAGACAGGUGUGAAAUCCCCGGGCUUAACCUGGGAACUGCAUUUGUGACUGCAAGGCUAGAGUGUGGCAGAGGGGGGUAGAAUUCCA